AGCGAACGCUGGCGGCAGGCCUAACACAUGCAAGUCGAGCGGGCACCGCAAGGUGUCAGCGGCAGACGGGAGAGUAACACGUGGGAACGUGCCCUUUGGUUCGGAACAACUCCGGGAAACUGGAGCUAAUACCGGAUAAGCCCUUACGGGGAAAGAUUUAUCGCCAAAGGAGCGGCCCGCGUCGGAUUAGCUAGUUGGUGAGGUAAUGGCUCACCAAGGCGACGAUCCGUAGCUGGUCUAAGAGGAUGAUCAGCCUCACUGGGACUGAGACACGGCCCAGACUCCUACGGGAGGCAGCAGUGGGGAAUAUUGGACAAUGGGCGCAAGCCUGAUCCAGCCAUGCCGCGUGGAUGAUGAAGGCCUUAGGGUUGUAAAGUCCUUUUAACGGGGAAGAUAAUGACGGUACCCGUAGAAUAAGCCCCGGCUAACUUCGUGCCAGCCGCCGCAGUAAC
RNAcentral lists this ribosomal RNA (452 nucleotides) under uncultured bacterium. RNAcentral's name for it is "bacterial SSU rRNA". It matches the Rfam family "Bacterial small subunit ribosomal RNA", at positions 29 to 524 of the family's 1533-position model. The record is from RNAcentral.